RNAcentral lists this ribosomal RNA (253 nucleotides) under uncultured bacterium. RNAcentral's name for it is "partial 16S ribosomal RNA". It matches the Rfam family "Bacterial small subunit ribosomal RNA", at positions 524 to 776 of the family's 1533-position model. The record is from RNAcentral.
UACAGGGGGUGCAAACGUUGCUCGGAAUCAUUGGGCGUAAAGCGCACGUAGGCGGUUUGUUAUGUCGGAUGUGAAAGCCCUUGGCUCAACUGAGGAAGUGCAUUCGAAACUGGCAAGCUAGAGUACUAAAGAGGGUCGCGGAAUUCCCGGUGUAGAGGUGAAAUUCGUAGAUAUCGGGAGGAACACCGGUGGCGAAGGCGACUUCCUGGCCCAUUCUUGACGCUGAGGCGCGAAAGCUAGGGGAGCGAACGGG